CACGUGGUAUCCUGUCUGAAUAUGGGGGGACCAUCCUCCAAGGCUAAAUACUCCUGACUGACCGAUAGUGAACCAGUACCGUGAGGGAAAGGCGAAAAGAACCCCGGCGAGGGGAGUGAAAAAGAACCUGAAACCGUGUACGUACAAGCAGUGGGAGCCUCUUUUAUGGGGUGACUGCGUACCUUUUGUAUAAUGGGUCAGCGACUUAUAUUCUGUAGCAAGGUUAACCGAAUAGGGGAGCCGAAGGGAAACCGAGUCUUAACUGGGCGUUAAGUUGCAGGGUAUAGACCCGAAACCCGGUGAUCUAGCCAUGGGCAGGUUGAAGGUUGGGUAACACUAACUGGAGGACCGAACCGACUAAUGUUGAAAAAUUAGCGGAUGACUUGUGGCUGGGGGUGAAAGGCCAAUCAAACCGGGAGAUAGCUGGUUCUCCCCGAAAGCUAUUUAGGUAGCGCCUCGUGAAUUCAUCUCCGGGGGUAGAGCACUGUUUCGGCAAGGGGGUCAUCCCGACUUACCAACCCGAUGCAAACUGCGAAUACCGGAGAAUGUUAUCACGGGAGACACACGGCGGGUGCUAACGUCCGUCGUGAAGAGGGAAACAACCCAGACCGCCAGCUAAGGUCCCAAAGUCAUGGUUAAGUGGGAAACGAUGUGGGAAGGCCCAGACAGCCAGGAUGUUGGCUUAGAAGCAGCCAUCAUUUAAAGAAAGCGUAAUAGCUCACUGGUCGAGUCGGCCUGCGCGGAAGAUGUAACGGGGCUAAACCAUGCAUCGAAGCUGCGGCAGCGACGCUUAUGCGUUGUUGGGUAGGGGAGCGUUCUGUAAGCCUGCGAAGGUGUGCUGUGAGGCAUGCUGGAGGUAUCAGAAGUGCGAAUGCUGACAUAAGUAACGAUAAAGCGGGUGAAAAGCCCGCUCGCCGGAAGACCAAGGGUUCCUGUCCAACGUUAAUCGGGGCAGGGUGAGUCGACCCCUAAGGCGAGGCCGAAAGGCGUAGUCGAUGGGAAACAGGUUAAUAUUCCUGUACUUGGUGUUACUGCGAAGGGGGGACGGAGAAGGCUAUGUUGGCCGGGCGACGGUUGUCCCGGUUUAAGCGUGUAGGCUGGCUUUCCAGGCAAAUCCGGAAAAUCAAGGCUGAGGCGUGAUGACGAGGCACUACGGUGCUGAAGCAACAAAUGCCCUGCUUCCAGGAAAAGCCUCUAAGCAUCAGGUAACAUCAAAUCGUACCCCAAACCGACACAGGUGGUCAGGUAGAGAAUACCAAGGCGCUUGAGAGAACUCGGGUGAAGGAACUAGGCAAAAUGGUGCCGUAACUUCGGGAGAAGGCACGCUGAUAUGUAGGUGAAGCGACUUGCUCGUGGAGCUGAAAUCAGUCGAAGAUACCAGCUGGCUGCAACUGUUUAUUAAAAACACAGCACUGUGCAAACACGAAAGUGGACGUAUACGGUGUGACGCCUGCCCGGUGCCGGAAGGUUAAUUGAUGGGGUUAGCGGUAACGCGAAGCUCUUGAUCGAAGCCCCGGUAAACGGCGGCCGUAACUAUAACGGUCCUAAGGUAGCGAAAUUCCUUGUCGGGUAAGUUCCGACCUGCACGAAUGGCGUAAUGAUGGCCAGGCUGUCUCCACCCGAGACUCAGUGAAAUUGAACUCGCUGUGAAGAUGCAGUGUACCCGCGGCAAGACGGAAAGACCCCGUGAACCUUUACUAUAGCUUGACACUGAACAUUGAGCCUUGAUGUGUAGGAUAGGUGGGAGGCUUUGAAGUGUGG
RNAcentral lists this ribosomal RNA (1761 nucleotides) under Escherichia coli. Its description in RNAcentral is "partial 23S ribosomal RNA". It matches the Rfam family "Bacterial large subunit ribosomal RNA", at positions 423 to 2167 of the family's 2925-position model. Lineage: Bacteria; Pseudomonadati; Pseudomonadota; Gammaproteobacteria; Enterobacterales; Enterobacteriaceae. The record is from RNAcentral.